This 474-nucleotide long non-coding RNA is filed under the name Anser brachyrhynchus (Pink-footed goose). Its description in RNAcentral is "lncRNA (ENSABRG00000010622.1)". Lineage: Eukaryota; Metazoa; Chordata; Aves; Anseriformes; Anatidae. The record is from RNAcentral.
ACUUGUGAAGUCACAGACAGCUCAGUUUGCAUAUCUGAAACGCAAGUGGCUGGUGGGGCAUGGUGUGAAAAUGCCUUUAUUACAAGGAACUUAAGCUAAAACUAGGAGGCCACCACUUAGCACUUUACUGGUAAACAGCUUUGUUAUGAACAUUCAUAAUGAUGCUGUGAGGGAACAAGGGUGCAUGGGCUCUCUCAGGGACACACUCUCUCUAACACAGAUUGUGAAGAUCAUCACAUCAGAUUCUCCACCAAACUGCUCUGAUGAGCAGUGUCAUCCCUGGACAGCUAGCAGGAUAUACAUUUCCAUUCACAAAUAUCUAUGUGGAGACACAGAACCUGCUGCACUGUUGGGGAAGUUUUGCUGCCAAUGUCUGAAUGGAUAUGAGCAAAAAGACCAAAACUAUUCUCUGUCUUUGAUGCCAAUCAGAAUUGACACAGACAUAUCUGAGACUCUUUUUACAGGAGGUAUGUG